GACGAACGCUGGCGGCGUGCUUAACACAUGCAAGUCGAACGGUGAAGCUCCAGCUUGCUGGAGUGGAUCAGUGGCGAACGGGUGAGUAACACGUGAGCAACCUGCCCCUGACUCUGGAAUAAGCGCUGGAAACGGCGUCUAAUACUGGAUACGAGAAGGGUCCGCAUGGGCACCUUCUGGAAAGUUUUUCGGUUGGGGAUGGGCUCGCGGCCUAUCAGCUUGUUGGUGAGGUAAUGGCUCACCAAGGCGACGACGGGUAGCCGGCCUGAGAGGGCGACCGGCCACACUGGGACUGAGACACGGCCCAGACUCCUACGGGAGGCAGCAGUGGGGAAUAUUGCACAAUGGGCGAAAGCCUGAUGCAGCGACGCCGCGUGAGGGAUGACGGCCUUCGGGUUGUAAACCUCUUUCAGCAGGGAAAAAGCGAAAGUGACGGUACCUGCAGAAGAAGCACCGGCUAACUACGUG
Molecule: ribosomal RNA, 468 nt
Filed under: uncultured bacterium
Lineage: Bacteria
Description: partial 16S ribosomal RNA
Rfam family: Bacterial small subunit ribosomal RNA
Source: RNAcentral